GGAGGCGCUCAAAGGUUCUCUCAGUACGGUCGGAAAUCGUACGUAGAGUGUAAAGGCAAAAGAGAGCUUGAUUGCAAGACAUACAGGUCGAGCAAGGAUGAAAAUCGGACUUAGUGAUCCGGUGGUUCUGCGUGGAAGGGCCAUCGCUCAACGGAUAAAAGCUACCCUGGGGAUAACAGGCUUAUCUCCCCCAAGAGUCCACAUCGACGGGGAGGUUUGGCACCUCGAUGUCGGCUCAUCACAUCCUGGGGCUGUAGUAGGUCCCAAGGGUUGGGCUGUUCGCCCAUUAAAGUGGUACGCGAGCUGGGUUCAGAACGUCGUGAGACAGUUCGGUCCCUAUCCGUCGCAGGCGUAGGAAAUUUGAGAAGACCUGUCCUUAGUACGAGAGGACCGGGAUGGACGUACCUCUGGUGUACCAGUUGUUCUGCCAAGGGCAUGGCUGGGUAGCUAUGUACGGAAUGGAUAAGCGCUGAAAGCAUCUAAGCGCGAAGCCAACUUCAAGAUAAGAUUUCCCACCGCAAGGGUAAGACCCCAGAAAGACUAUCUGGUUGAUAGGUCGAAGGUGUAAGUGCAGCAAUGUAUUUAGCUUAUCGAUACUAAUAGGUCGAGGACUUGACCAA
RNAcentral lists this ribosomal RNA (620 nucleotides) under Clostridioides difficile. RNAcentral describes it as "partial 23S ribosomal RNA". It matches the Rfam family "Bacterial large subunit ribosomal RNA", at positions 2302 to 2925 of the family's 2925-position model. RNAcentral also lists the same sequence under 1 other name. The record is from RNAcentral. Lineage: Bacteria; Bacillati; Bacillota; Clostridia; Peptostreptococcales; Peptostreptococcaceae.